GCUUACGGCCAUACCACCCUGAGCACGCCCGAUCUCGUCUGAUCUCGGAAGCUAAGCAGGGUCGGGCCUGGUUAGUACUUGGAUGGGAGACCGCCUGGGAAUACCAGGUCCUGUAAGCU
This 119-nucleotide ribosomal RNA is filed under the name Betta splendens (Siamese fighting fish). Lineage: Eukaryota; Metazoa; Chordata; Actinopteri; Anabantiformes; Osphronemidae. The record is from RNAcentral.